GUGAACGCUGGCGGUAGGCCUAACACAUGCAAGUCGAACGGCGGCACAGAGGAGCUUGCUCCUUGGGUGGCGAGUGGCGGACGGGUGAGGAAUACAUCGGAAUCUACUCUUUCGUGGGGGAUAACGUAGGGAAACUUACGCUAAUACCGCAUACGACCUUCGGGUGAAAGCAGGGGAUCGCAAGACCUUGCGCGAUUGAAUGAGCCGAUGUCGGAUUAGCUAGUUGGCGGGGUAAAGGCCCACCAAGGCGACGAUCCGUAGCUGGUCUGAGGGGAUGAUCAGCCACACUGGAACUGAGACACGGUCCAGACUCCUACGGGAGGCAGCAGUGGGGAAUAUUGGACAAUGGGCGCAAGCCUGAUCCAGCCAUACCGCGUGGGUGAAGAAGGCCUUCGGGUUGUAAAGCCCUUUUGUUGGGAAAGAAAGGCACACGGUUAAUACCCGAGUGUUCUGACGGUACCCAAAGAAUAAGCACCGGCUAACUUCGUGCCAGCCGCCGCAGUAA
Molecule: ribosomal RNA, 505 nt
Filed under: uncultured bacterium
Lineage: Bacteria
Description: partial 16S ribosomal RNA
Rfam family: Bacterial small subunit ribosomal RNA
Source: RNAcentral